CGGAGUUGAAGGUGCCUGUGAUACCUACACACUGAUUCUUUGGUAAGUCUGAAGUUGCACACAAUAUCAGAAUAACUGUGUAUCUGAAUCCACAGGUGAGGAAGAAGCUGGUAUAUUAGGGUCUUUGCUGUAGGAAACACAUUUUAUUUUCAAACUGAGGGGGGUGGGCAGGAAGAAACUUCAGCAAGGAGUGUGGGAGAAUGCUGUUUGCCCUUUAGGCAUAAGUAAAAUGAAUAAGGCUGAUUGUACCACACAGAAGAGUAAGUUUGGGAAACUAAAAACAUUCUAUUUUAUUCCAUUUUCCACAGGAAACAGAGAAUGGAGAAUUGUGGUAGACUCCCAUUAGCAUUAUGUGGUCUCCACAAAACCCUAUUUUCUCAAGUCUGAAGACAUUUAAAGGAAUGGAUUACAUUAAAAGACAAACACAAAAAUCCACCAGAUCAUCAAUCAAAAGAAGAAAAAGUAUCCCCAAAAGGGUGAAAAUUCUGUGGCAGAAGAAAAUGGAAGAUAUUAUCAGCAAAUAAUAUCAAUGGUCAAAGGCAACAUGAUUUGAAAAGGACCCAGGAGAGAGAAUAUUGAGGAAGGCUUCAAAUCAAAGUGAAACCACCAAUAUGUGAUUUGCUUCUGCUUCCAAUUUGUCUAGAAGGAUUUUGCCACUCCCAUCUAGUAAACCACCAAUGCCAAAUAAAAGCACUAUAUUACAUGCG
Molecule: long non-coding RNA, 707 nt
Filed under: Dasypus novemcinctus (nine-banded armadillo)
Lineage: Eukaryota; Metazoa; Chordata; Mammalia; Cingulata; Dasypodidae
Description: lncRNA (ENSDNOG00000052130.1)
Source: RNAcentral